AUGUCGGAACGGGAAAAGGGCUCAGGAACGCCUCGGCGUCCCCCCUCACCUGCUUCGGGAGGGAAGCGACGUGAGAAGGACCUUCUAGAAGGCGAUGGCAAGCGGAGGAAGGCCUCCCGGGAUAGUUCCAGUACUCAACCACCUCCCGCCUGUCCGCAGUCAGCUGCGGGCCCGAGCCACAUCGGCGAUACAGCGGUGCCUCCUUCGAGUGAAGUAACUUUGGACAAGCUUUCUACCCUUUUGGGUGCUCUAAUUGAAAGAUUAGACCAGCCGGCAGUCCCUCCAGUGUCGGUGGAGACAAACUUCACCUUCCCCCAUUCUGAUGAUGAGGCAGCUGAAGCGCCUCGGUGUCUGCCCGAAGCUGAUCCCCUUGACGACCUCGAUCUGCUUACUGCCCCCGCUACACAGUCAACCGGUGAUUCGGUGGUUGAUGCGGAUUUCCAGAAAGCUCUCGAUGAGUUUGCUGGCCACUUCCGGGGUGAGGAAGAGACAGGUGACCCCUUAUCUGACCGCCUGGCUGGCAUUCUUAAUGCCAGUCUGAGACGUCGGCCCUCUUCUGACGGUGUGAAGCUUACAUGUGAUAAGAUCAAACUCCCGAGUAAUGUACCCAAUUUAAAGGUCCCAGCGACUACUUCUGCCAUCACAAAGGCAAUGAGCGUCGGUGGAAAGCUAGUUGACACUCGGCUGUCACUUACUAAUAAACUGUUGACCAAGGCGUUGGUCCCCAUUGCCUGUUGCAUCAGUGAUAUUGGUGAUAAGAAAGACAAGCCUGUAAACUACUACCUUGAUGGUCUUAAUAACAGCCUGAGGCUACUGACUUCCGCUGUUAACUACAUCAAUCAGCUUCGGAAAGAGGUUGCUCGAACUCAUGUGAAUGAUUCUGCCUUGGCAGAGCUCUGCAAUUGGGAGUGUGAGGUCGGCAAGGAUGAUUUAUUCCCGUUCGAUGUGAUUAAGAAGUGUGAGGAAAUUCACAAAUCCAGGAAACUUGGGCGGCCCACCUUCCGCCCUUACAAAGCUCCUGGAAAACGAUUUGCUUCACCUCGCCAGUUACCCUCACGCCCUCACUCUCAGCAGCCGAGACCACGUCACCAAACAAGGUCUUUUUUAGGCCAGAGGCCUCCCCAGGGGAAGGGGAUGCCGAGACACAGAGCUCACCAGUGAAAGUACCUUUGUAUUAUAUCAAGGGUCCUCCAAAAGCUCCAGGAAGACGAAGCUACAGUGAUGGUGAUUCUUCCUCUAUGGCCGACUCAAGUAUGGUUCCCGACAGCCCUCCGCUUGCUAACGGCACCUCCUGUGCUUCUCCCCCGUCUUCCUCUCGUGCUGCCACAAAAUCCAACUCUCACACAUCCUCGGUCUCAAGUGUUGAUCUUGACAGCGAUGGUAUUAUCAGGGAAUCGUACCAAAGUCGCGGCCUUUCGCCGGAAGUUGCCGGAUUUCUGCUGCACUCCUGGAGGGAGAGCACGAGAGUACAGUAUGGGUCGCAUAUUAAGAAAUGGUUGUCAUUUUGCUUCGGCAGGAAAAUUGAUCUCUUUCAGCCAUCUUCAGCUGACCUUUUAGAUUUCCUCCUUUCCGAAUUUAGGAGGGGUGCAGGUAGGACUUACAGCUCCAUCAACACGUUACGGUCGGCCAUCUCGGCAGUGGCAAGUAUCAAUGGCCAGCCGGCAGGACAACAUCCCUUAGCUACAAGGUUUAUGAAAGCAGUCUUUCAGGUGAGACCGUCCUUACCCCGCUACGGUACGACCUGGGAUCCUCACUUGAUCUUGGAUCACAUCAUAGGUCUUGGGCCCGAUAAAGAUUUGUCCUUGAUUCAGUUAUCAAGGAAGCUAACAAUCCUUAUGUUGCUCCUCUCUGGUCAACGCGGUCAGACUUUACAUAUGUUAGACAUUAGGAACAUGACUGUUUCGGACAGUCGGGUCUCUUUUAGGAUUGGUGAUCCGCUAAAAACUUCUAGGCCAGGUACACACUUGUCAGAAUUGGUUUUCGUAGCCUAUCCCCCAGACAGGAGGUUAUGUGUUGUCACCUCAACGAUGAGCUAUCUAGAACGCACAAACAACAUGCGGGGUUCGCUCACGGGUUUCUUUCUCACAACAAGACCUCCAGUCAAACUGGCUUCACGGGACACAUUACGUCGCUGGACGAAAGAUGUCAUGCGAGCUGCUGGCAUUAAUCUUGGCAUUUUUUCACCUCAUUCUACCAGGUCGGCGUCAGCCAGUAAGGCGGCCCUGCGGCUCCCUUUGUCGACAAUUAUCUCUACUAUUGGCUGGACCAGAGAAUCUACAUUCACGAAGUACUACAGGAAGCCCAUAAUUGAUGCUGGACUGACGUGGAGCUGGUGAAGCGGGCAUCUCGUUUACUACCUCAGUGACGCAGUUAAAUGUUCGUGAAAUUACGAUCAAACAUCAUACUUGGUAAGUAUUCGUUUAAUCUCCCAAUUUCACUUCACGACUAUUUAACUGACGUCACCGGUAGUCAACGAGAUGCCCGCUUCACCAGCUCCACGCCAGUUCGCUGCUAGUCUCCACACAGUCCACACCUCAACGCUGUCUGCUGUUCCGCUCGUCGACCACCUGGCUUCUGUUCACCGGCUUUCUCUUAGGAGUCAGCCUGGUAAGCCUUCACCCGCUACAGCAGGGUGUUAGCUGUAUGGUGAUUCCACAUAUAUGAUCUAAGGACGUAUAUGUUGGCUCUUGUGUUUCCUUCCCGUUUUCCGUUCUUUCUAGACGUGAGAUGUCGGAACGGGAAAAGGGCUCAGGAACGCCUCGGCGUCCCCCCUCACCUGCUUCGGGAGGGAAGCGACGUGAGAAGGACCUUCUAGAAGGCGAUGGCAAGCGGAGGAAGGCCUCCCGGGAUAGUUCCAGUACUCAACCACCUCCCGCCUGUCCGCAGUCAGCUGCGGGCCCGAGCCACAUCGGCGAUACAGCGGUGCCUCCUUCGAGUGAAGUAACUUUGGACAAGCUUUCUACCCUUUUGGGUGCUCUAAUUGAAAGAUUAGACCAGCCGGCAGUCCCUCCAGUGUCGGUGGAGACAAACUUCACCUUCCCCCAUUCUGAUGAUGAGGCAGCUGAAGCGCCUCGGUGUCUGCCCGAAGCUGAUCCCCUUGACGACCUCGAUCUGCUUACUGCCCCCGCUACACAGUCAACCGGUGAUUCGGUGGUUGAUGCGGAUUUCCAGAAAGCUCUCGAUGAGUUUGCUGGCCACUUCCGGGGUGAGGAAGAGACAGGUGACCCCUUAUCUGACCGCCUGGCUGGCAUUCUUAAUGCCAGUCUGAGACGUCGGCCCUCUUCUGACGGUGUGAAGCUUACAUGUGAUAAGAUCAAACUCCCGAGUAAUGUACCCAAUUUAAAGGUCCCAGCGACUACUUCUGCCAUCACAAAGGCAAUGAGCGUCGGUGGAAAGCUAGUUGACACUCGGCUGUCACUUACUAAUAAACUGUUGACCAAGGCGUUGGUCCCCAUUGCCUGUUGCAUCAGUGAUAUUGGUGAUAAGAAAGACAAGCCUGUAAACUACUACCUUGAUGGUCUUAAUAACAGCCUGAGGCUACUGACUUCCGCUGUUAACUACAUCAAUCAGCUUCGGAAAGAGGUUGCUCGAACUCAUGUGAAUGAUUCUGCCUUGGCAGAGCUCUGCAAUUGGGAGUGUGAGGUCGGCAAGGAUGAUUUAUUCCCGUUCGAUGUGAUUAAGAAGUGUGAGGAAAUUCACAAAUCCAGGAAACUUGGGCGGCCCACCUUCCGCCCUUACAAAGCUCCUGGAAAACGAUUUGCUUCACCUCGCCAGUUACCCUCACGCCCUCACUCUCAGCAGCCGAGACCACGUCACCAAACAAGGUCUUUUUUAGGCCAGAGGCCUCCCCAGGGGAAGGGGAUGCCGAGACACAGAGCUCACCAGUGAAAGUACCUUUGGUAAGUCCCUUGUUAAUGGACUUGAUUAAUACUCCGGAUAAUUUUCAUGGGGGAAAAAUCUUUGAUGCCAGGUUACAGUGGAACCUUCUUUCCUCGGAUAAAUGGAUCUAUGAUGUGGUACAUGGAAAAUUUUUAGCUUUUGUGCGUGUCCCCAUACAGGGGAGCCCUCCGGCUCCUCUUAGCUUGUCACUUUCAGAUGAAAAAGCGCUGGACUCUGCCAUGCUAAAGUUCUUGGAGCAGAGGAUAGUUGAAUUAUGUGCACCAGGGGGACAUGGUUUUCUUUCUAACAUUUUUCCUACCAUUAAGA
Molecule: RNA transcript, 4206 nt
Organism: Scylla paramamosain (green mud crab)
Lineage: Eukaryota; Metazoa; Arthropoda; Malacostraca; Decapoda; Portunidae
Exons: 3
Source: RefSeq, a predicted model, not a curated record